RNAcentral lists this long non-coding RNA (722 nucleotides) under Naja naja (Indian cobra). RNAcentral describes it as "lncRNA (ENSNNAG00000015269.1)". The record is from RNAcentral. Lineage: Eukaryota; Metazoa; Chordata; Lepidosauria; Squamata; Elapidae.
AAUCCUUGUGAUAUUUUUAGUUUUAUGUUGUGAAUUAUUCUGUUUCUUUCAAAGGCAAGAGCUCAGUACGCUACUGUUCAUCAGAAAUAUUUGGAAGUGCAAAAGUUGCAUGAAGAAAUAAAAGAAGAAUGUGGAAAAAAAAGACUAUAUAUGUUUGAGCAAAUAGAAGCUGAUGAGGCUACAUUAAACCAACUUAGGGAUGAGUUAAAAGAAACUGAUGAGUUUUAUGCUGACAUCAAUAACAAGAUACAUAGAUUGAGGGAGGAAAUACUGGAAAAUGAAAAUCUCCUUGAAGAACUAAUCAAGCAAGAAGCAGAUAUAAGAGCUGACUUAAAUUCUUGGCGUGAUAAAGAAAGGCAUUUGAAGUUCAAAAUUUCAAGACAACAAAGUGAUAACAAACAAUUGCUGGAUGAGUUUUUGAAAGAGAUGGAGGUUAUUGAAAGCUCAGUAAGUUUUGGAAUUCACACAUUUAAAAUGUUUUUCCUUUCAACUUAUGCCAUAUUAAAUUGCGUAUUUUCAUAAUUAUUUAUAUGCUAUCUGUAGAAAUGCAAUAAAGAAUAUGAUCUACAAAAACUGAAGGAUAAGCUUGCAAAUAAUCUUCAGCAGUUCACCAGUUUGCAAAAUGAAAUCCAAUAUCUUAAAAAUGAAAAUGCCGGAUUUAUGUUCAAAUUCAGAGACAGGUAAGUGGCACUGUGUUAAUGCCCAAUAAGCUUACAUUCUGA